UGAGUAACCUGCCCUUAACUCUGGGAUAAGCCUGGGAAACUGGGUCUAAUACCGGAUAUGACUCCUCAUCGCAUGGUGGGGGGUGGAAAGCUUUUUGCGGUUUUGGAUGGACUCGCGGCCUAUCAGCUUGUUGGUGAGGUAAUGGCUCACCAAGGCUUCGACGGGUAGCCGGCCUGAGAGGGCGACCGGCCACACUGGGACUGAGAUACGGCCCAGACUCCUACGGGAGGCAG
This 233-nucleotide ribosomal RNA is filed under the name uncultured bacterium. Its description in RNAcentral is "partial 16S ribosomal RNA". It matches the Rfam family "Bacterial small subunit ribosomal RNA", at positions 118 to 351 of the family's 1533-position model. The record is from RNAcentral.